This 425-nucleotide ribosomal RNA is filed under the name uncultured Defluviicoccus sp. RNAcentral's name for it is "bacterial SSU rRNA". It matches the Rfam family "Bacterial small subunit ribosomal RNA", at positions 354 to 796 of the family's 1533-position model. The record is from RNAcentral. Lineage: Bacteria; Pseudomonadati; Pseudomonadota; Alphaproteobacteria; Rhodospirillales; Rhodospirillaceae.
GUGGGGAAUAUUGGACAAUGGGGGAAACCCUGAUCCAGCAAUGCCGCGUGAGUGAUGAAGGCCUUAGGGUUGUAAAGCUCUUUCGCCUGAGACGAUGAUGACGGUAUCAGGAGAAGAAGCCCCGGCUAAUUCCGUGCCAGCAGCCGCGGUAAUACGGAAGGGGCUAGCGUUGUUCGGAAUUACUGGGCGUAAAGCGCGUGCAGGCGGUCGGACAAGUGAGGCGUGAAAGCCCUGGGCUCAACCUGGGAACUGCGCUUCAGACUGUUCGGCUUGAGUUCGGGAGAGGGUGGUGGAAUUCCCAGUGUAGAGGUGAAAUUCGUAGAUAUUGGGAGGAACACCGGUGGCGAAGGCGGCCGCCUGGCCCGUAACUGACGCUAUAGCGCGAAAGCGUGGGGAGCAAACAGGAUUAGAAACCCGAGUAGUCC